RNAcentral lists this ribosomal RNA (498 nucleotides) under uncultured bacterium. Its description in RNAcentral is "bacterial SSU rRNA". It matches the Rfam family "Bacterial small subunit ribosomal RNA", at positions 28 to 533 of the family's 1533-position model. The record is from RNAcentral.
GAUGAACGCUAGCGGCAGGCCUAAUACAUGCAAGUCAAGGGGCUCAGCAAUGAGCACCGGCGCACGGGUGCGUAACGCGUACACAACCUACCCUCAAGCGGGGGGAUAGCCUUGGGAAACUGAGAGUAAUACCCCAUAGAAUUAUUGGACGGCAUCGUUUGAUAAUUAAAACUACGGUGUUUGGGGAUAGAUGUGCGUCUGAUUAGCUAGUUGGUGAGGUAACUGCUCACCAAGGCGACGAUCAGUAGGGGGCGUGAGAGCGUGGCCCCCCACACGGGUACUGAGACACGGACCCGACUCCUACGGGAGGCAGCAGUAAGGAAUAUUGGUCAAUGGAGGGAACUCUGAACCAGCCAUGCCGCGUGAAGGAUGACGGCCCUCUGGGUUGUAAACUUCUUUUGGAUGGGGCGAAAAAACGGGAUUUAUCCUGGACUGACGGUACCAUCAGAAUAAGCACCGGCUAACUCCGUGCCAGCAGACGCGGUAAAGUAGUCGUGU